AGCCGCCUAGGGUAAAAUCGGUAAUUGGGGCUAAGUCGUAACAAGGUAGCCGUAUCGGAAGGUGCGGCUGGAAUACCUCCUUUUUAGAGCGCAUUAUAC
RNAcentral lists this ribosomal RNA (99 nucleotides) under Chitinophaga sp. SYP-B3965. RNAcentral describes it as "partial 16S ribosomal RNA". The stretch from base 1 to 83 matches the Rfam family "Bacterial small subunit ribosomal RNA", at positions 1451 to 1533 of the family's 1533-position model. Lineage: Bacteria; Pseudomonadati; Bacteroidota; Chitinophagia; Chitinophagales; Chitinophagaceae. The record is from RNAcentral.